Seriola dumerili (greater amberjack) is the source of this 1179-nucleotide long non-coding RNA. RefSeq lists it as uncharacterized. The record is from RefSeq and is a predicted model, not a curated record. Lineage: Eukaryota; Metazoa; Chordata; Actinopteri; Carangiformes; Carangidae. The transcript has 4 exons.
GUGUAACACUGUGGCUGUGGGCUGCUGUGUUUCCCCUCCUGGUGAGUAUAUGAUGGCUCCCAGAUGGGUCAGUAUACAGACCUUCCUGGAAACCUAUUUUGUGAAGGGACUGCAAACAAUUAAUUUGGUUUACGACUUGCCCUAGGCUCUUCUCCCAGCGGGACAUACCCAGAAAAACUCCACAGCAAGGUGUCCAGAGGCCGUCCCGAUCAGCUGCCUGAACCACCUCAACCUGAAGAGGCCCCACAGAGCGCGGACCCAAGGGAGCCGAGAAAAGUGAGCCUGUGGAGCGCAGCGACAUCGGGAACAGAGGCAAAAGAAGGGAGGCUGAAACCUCAAGGACAGAGAAGCAGAGGUUUUUGAAUGUUGUCAAAAAGAGACCUGUGGACGGCCAAAACAAGCCUGAAAAGACUCGAAGCUUGUCUGCACAAACAGGAGAAAAGACUAAUACAUAAACAGCCUCAAUGUUUUUUCCUGUACCUCACAGUUUGAAUUCUGUUUUAUUUUUAGUUGCUUGUUUUUAGUUGGCUGUCUACUGGAUUUUUUUAACCAUUAUUUAUUGUGCUACACAUCUUUUUGUAAUAAACAUGUUUUUUUAAAAAAAUAUUAAUUCUAAAGUACCUCUCCAUACAUAUCUUAAACUAUGUAACAAUCAAUUUUGUUUAAAAUGGUUUUCCAACAUAAAAAUUGAAAGAAAGAAAAACGGCUUAUUGCCUUAGGUUGACAAGUGAAAUAACAGAGAGUAUCAAGAUGGUUAGAGGAGGAAACAGCCACAUGUUUAUAUAUCACAAUGGUAAGUGUAGUUAUUUGUUUAUGUUGCUUGUUAACUUGUAGCUGGCAGUUGGCUGAUACAGUGUUGGUGGUUGUGCUAAUGCAAACCCUCGCUCUCUGUACCAAGUCUGUUUGAAUGACAUUGCGUAUCCCGAUAGUUAGCAUUAAAGGAGACACUGCGGAGACUCAGCGACACGUUUGAGCCUCAGUCAGACCCAGACUCAGGUGAGGAGUCUGUUGUGAUCAAAACCAGUGACUAACAGACAUGUCAGAGCAGUUAGCAUAGUUAGCAUCUUUUAUUUGUUUAUGUUGUCUGUUAGCUUGUAACCGGCAGUCGCUGACAGUGUUAGUUGUUGUGCUUAUGCAAACUCUCUCUCUCUCUCUCUGUACUGACACAGCUUCAGGUUU